ACUUUCAGUGGGGAGGCAAGUUGUACUUGUUAAUACCAAGUAUUAUUGACGUUACCCACAGAAGAAGCACCGGCUAACUCUGUGCCAGCAGCCGCGGUAAUACAGAGGGUGCAAGCGUUAAUCGGAAUGACUGGGCGUAAAGCGUGCGUAGGUGGUUAGAUAAGUUAGAUGUGAAAUCCCCGGGCUUAACCUGGGAACUGCGUUUAAGACUGUUUAACUAGAGUACUGUAGAGGGUAGUGGAAUUUCCAGUGUAGCGGUGAAAUGCGUAGAUAUUGGAAGGAACACCAGUGGCGAAGGCGACUACCUGGAUAGAUACUGACACUGAGGCACGAAAGCGUGGGGAGCAAACAGGAUUAGAUACCCAGGUAGUCCAUGCUGUAAACUAUGAGAACUUGCUGUUGGAUGCAUAAAGGCAUUUAGUAGCGAAGCUAACGCGUUAAGUUCUCCGCCUGGGGAG
This 458-nucleotide ribosomal RNA is filed under the name uncultured bacterium. RNAcentral's name for it is "bacterial SSU rRNA". It matches the Rfam family "Bacterial small subunit ribosomal RNA", at positions 432 to 880 of the family's 1533-position model. The record is from RNAcentral.